Molecule: long non-coding RNA, 751 nt
Organism: Zonotrichia leucophrys gambelii
Lineage: Eukaryota; Metazoa; Chordata; Aves; Passeriformes; Passerellidae
Exons: 3
Source: RefSeq, a predicted model, not a curated record
GGAAGAGUCAGUGCCUGGAGGAGCUGCCUACAGAAAACAUCAAGGAGGGGCUGGGCUUGGCCAGUCUGGGAGAGCCUGGAAGGACCCCUGACUAAGAAGCAGCAACAAGCGGAAGAAGUCUGUGCUGUGAAGAACUGCCCCAAGAAAUAUCACGGAGGAGGUCAACAGAGUUUAUUCUGUUCAUCUUCUCCACUUUUGUAAGACCCCACCUGGAGUAUUGGAGCCUCCAACAAAAGGAGGGCAAGGACAUGUUGGAGCAGGUCCAGAGGAGGACCAUCAAGAUUAUCAGAGGGCUGGAGCAUGUCUGUGGUGAAGACAGUCUUAGAGCAUUGGGGUUUUUCAGUCUGGAAAAGAGAAGAUUCUGGGAAGACCAUUUUAGCAGGCUUCAGCUAAAGAUGGACUAGGAGAAAGCGGAGAUGGACUUUGCACAAGGGCAUGUAGGGAUAGGGAGAGGAAAAACAGUUUUAAAUUGGCAGAGAGUGGGUUUAAAUUAGUACUAGAAAGAAAUUCCUCACUCUGAGGGUGGAACAGGUUGUUCAGAGAAGUUGUGGAUGCCCCAUCCCUGGAAAUGUUCAAGGCCAGGUGAGGUGGGGACCUUGAAACAACCUGGUCUAGUGGAAGGUGUCCCCGCCCAUGGUAAGGGGGUUGGAACCGGUUGGUCUUUUUCCACCCCAAGUCAUUGAAUGAUUGUAUGAUUGAUUCCAUGAUUCUAUCAUCAUAGUCAGUACUUGUCUGUAAUUAAUAUUGAAAC